RNAcentral lists this ribosomal RNA (165 nucleotides) under Mikania cordifolia. RNAcentral's name for it is "5.8S ribosomal RNA". It matches the Rfam family "5.8S ribosomal RNA". From Rfam's summary of the family: 5.8S ribosomal RNA (5.8S rRNA) is a component of the large subunit of the eukaryotic ribosome. Lineage: Eukaryota; Viridiplantae; Streptophyta; Magnoliopsida; Asterales; Asteraceae. The record is from RNAcentral.
AAACAACUCUCGGCAACGGAUAUCUUGGCUCGCGCAUCGAUGAAGAACGUAGCAAAAUGCGAUACUUGGUGUGAAUUGCAGAAUCCCGUGAACCAUCGAGUUUUUGAACGCAAGUUGCGCCCGAAGCCGCUUGGUUGAGGGCACGCCUGCCUGGGUGUCACGCAU